This 65-nucleotide transfer RNA is filed under the name Jivarus ronderosi. Its description in RNAcentral is "tRNA-Cys". Lineage: Eukaryota; Metazoa; Arthropoda; Insecta; Orthoptera; Acrididae. The record is from RNAcentral.
GGCCUUUAAUUCAAUUAUGAUUUUAGACUGCAAUUCUAAAGGUGUAAAGAAUUUUACUAAGGCCU